UUCUUAGACCUGUGCAAUGCUAUUUUUAAGCACCGCUUCAGGGUGGGAACACAGCAGAGCACUUGAUUUUAGUGUGUGCCGCAG
RNAcentral lists this signal recognition particle RNA (84 nucleotides) under Campylobacter jejuni. RNAcentral's name for it is "partial signal recognition particle sRNA small type". It matches the Rfam family "Bacterial small signal recognition particle RNA", at positions 1 to 83 of the family's 97-position model. Rfam says of the family: The signal recognition particle (SRP) is a universally conserved ribonucleoprotein involved in the co-translational targeting of proteins to membranes. Archaeal SRP consists of a 7S RNA and homologues of the eukaryotic SRP19 and SRP54 proteins. In most bacteria, the SRP consists of a 4.5S RNA and the Ffh protein (a homologue of the eukaryotic SRP54 protein). Lineage: Bacteria; Pseudomonadati; Campylobacterota; Epsilonproteobacteria; Campylobacterales; Campylobacteraceae. The record is from RNAcentral.